AAUAAAUACAGUUUUAUAUUAUUCAUGUCUAACGUUGACCGUUCAUUUUAUUUGAAAUUCUUUUUAUGAUUACUAUUUUUAAUGUUAUUAGAUGAUAAAAUAUGAAUAGUACUUUAUGUGUGACUAAUUUUUUUUAUAAAUUUUUUAAAUAAGACGGAUGGUCAAAUAUUAGAUACGGAUUUUCACGGCUGCACUUAUU
This 199-nucleotide microRNA precursor is filed under the name Oryza meridionalis. RNAcentral describes it as "MIR812 microRNA precursor family". It matches the Rfam family "MIR812 microRNA precursor family". Lineage: Eukaryota; Viridiplantae; Streptophyta; Magnoliopsida; Poales; Poaceae. The record is from Rfam by way of RNAcentral.